This 671-nucleotide long non-coding RNA is filed under the name Fragaria vesca (wild strawberry). Its description in RNAcentral is "long non-coding RNA (FVES_LNC005469)". The record is from RNAcentral. Lineage: Eukaryota; Viridiplantae; Streptophyta; Magnoliopsida; Rosales; Rosaceae.
UUGGUGCACCGGGUUGUAAACAACAAACCCGGUAAGCUAAAAAGCUCGUAUGAGUAACUCCCAAAAUAAUAACCCAACAAUCCCAACAUCACAUAUAAUUAAAACUGGUAAUUCCUGCAUUAGCAACUUAGUUCAAGAAUCGCCUAAAAGCAAGAGAAUUCAAAAGAAACAAUUAAGAAAACACAAUAAUUUAAAAUCACUCAAAAUCAUAAAUGACACUACCAGGACAAGCACUUUAGCCGACGAAAAAUUUUCGUCGGCCUGUUAUCUUAAUUCGUCGGCUAAGAUCUUAGCCGACGAAGGCUCGUCGGCUAUAGUGUCGUCGGGAAAAGGUCGUCUGUGAUGACUUUAGCCGACGAAAUUUUUUUUUUCGUCGGCUAUAGUCCCACAGUUAGCCGACGAAAAACAUGUCGUCGGUUUUUUUCCCAGACUUUAGCCGACGAAACAAUUAAUAUAUUCGUCGGCUAAAGUGUGUAAUAAAUAAUUAAAAAUAACUAUAGCCGACGAAAUUUACUAUAUUUCGUCGGCUAAACCUUAUAAAAAAUUUAAAACAAUAACUAUAGCCGACGAAAUAUAAAAUAUUUCGUCGGCUAAACCUUAUAAAAAUUUUAAAAAAAUAACUAUAGCCGACGAAUUAUGGCAUAAUUCGUCGGCUAAACCUUAUAANNNNN